UACGGAAGGCAGCAGUGGGGAAUAUUGCACAAUGGGCGAAAGCCUGAUGCAGCGUAUGCCGCGUGUAUGAAGGAAGGCCUUAGGGUUGUAAAGUACUUUCAUCGGGGAGGAAAAACAAAACUAAUAAUUUUAUUUCUUGACGUUACCCGAAAAAGAAGCACCGGCUAACUCCGUGCCAGCAGCCGCGGUAAUACGGAGGGUGCUAGCGUUAAUCAGAAUUACUGGGCGUAAAGAGGCACGUAGGUGGUUUUUUUAAGUCAGAUGUGAAAUCCCUGGGCUUAACCUGGAACUGCAUUUUGAAAACUGAAAUACUAGAGUAUCGUAGAGGGAGGUAGAAUUCUAGGUGUAGCGGUGAAAAUGCGUAGAUAUCUGGAGGAAUACCUGUGGCGAAAAGCGGCCUCCUAAACGAAUACUGACACUGAGGUGCGAAAAGCGUGGGGAGCAAAACAGGGAUUAGAUACC
This 462-nucleotide ribosomal RNA is filed under the name uncultured bacterium. RNAcentral's name for it is "bacterial SSU rRNA". It matches the Rfam family "Bacterial small subunit ribosomal RNA", at positions 340 to 786 of the family's 1533-position model. The record is from RNAcentral.